GUUUUUUUAAAAAUUGCUCUCUCUCUAUCGAGUUUAUUAUAACAAAAUUUUUAAUUAAUUAAAACUACAAAAAAAUGCUAUUUAAAAUUAAAGUCAGAUCUGUAAUUCCGAUAUUCUGAUUAACGCAAUUUUCUGUUUGACGGGUUUUAAUCGAUACGGGAGCGAAAGCUACUGUAAAAUUAAUGAAUCUAUACAAUAAUUGUUAAGGUUUAUAAAUAAAUACAUCGUCGGAUAAGCUGCGAAGUAGCAAACGGAUGACACACACAGUUUCUAUUACUAACUGGAUAAAUUAUCUACUCUGUUUAUUCUGGACACUGUGGCAGAAUAAUGUUUAAUGUUUCUUAACUUGUGUAUAAAUCGUGUUGACUUAAUGAACUCUUCGAGAUUUGAUGAUGAUUAGUCCUGUAUUCGAACUACAACGCGUAAAAAUGAAAACAGAAAAAUAAAAAAUAAAAAAAUUACGCGAAUAAACAAAGAUGCCCGUAACCUGGAUCUCGCUCGUAUGAAAAGGAAUUUUAUCUUCAGAAAAAAAAAAAAAAAUACAACAAUUAAUUGUAACAAGUGAGCAAACAGAAACAUGCAGUUUAUAGGAAAUUUAUUAUUAGUUUCUUCGUAACUAUAUAAACGCCUUUUAUGAAACGUUAUUUACUCUAAUGGAAAGAAAGAAAGAAAAAAAAAUGCGAAUAGAAGAUAUUUGAUUACGUAGCCGAAUAAAUAUUUGUUAAAAUAACUUUUAAUAACGUUUUUAACGGCGUUAUAAACCAAUCUUUAAACAUUUUCCUUGUAUGGCAGGAUUCUGUUUAUCGUUUCCACCUUCUAACCGACGUUACUGUUUGUCGUAUUUGUUUUACAGUAUGUUUUAUUGCAUUCUAACUUUUCUCUUCCAAUGUUCGAUUGCAUCGUGAUGAGGCCGUUGCAGAGAGUGCAACUCACAUAUAUGUAUACACACACAUACAUACAAACACACACAAAAACUACCUGAACUUUUUUGGAGCUUCGUAAUAUUUUUUUUUUAGUCACGUAUAUAUAUAUGUUGUGUGUCUGUUCUGUAGUCGCAGUCGCAUUGAAUAAGUUGUUUUGAUUAAAAAAUAAUAAUAAUAAAAAUAGGAGAAGAACAGUUUUUCUCAUACCGUAGACUGAAUCUAAUUUUUAACGCAUUACUCAUCAGUUAAAAGUAGAUAGAAGUAGCGGAGAGAUAAUACUGGGAAAACUUUUAAUAUAUUUAAACCGAGUUAUUAUAUUAAUGAAUAAAAAGGUUACCGCAUAUCGUUACGUCUUUUGUUCGACGUUACCGCAUCAGAAUAAAAACAGAAUAUGUACAGUAACGAAAAAAGAGAAAGAAAAAAUAAUAAAAUUACGAACGUCUGUUCUGUUGUUUCUUCGUGCAGUUGCUACAAAACAGAAUAAUUUUCGCUCUUACUGUUUUCCUUUUUGUUUUUUGCAAUUCUGUUUUAUUACGAAACGCACCGACAUUGAAUCUCAU
Molecule: long non-coding RNA, 1483 nt
Filed under: Androctonus crassicauda
Lineage: Eukaryota; Metazoa; Arthropoda; Arachnida; Scorpiones; Buthidae
Source: RNAcentral